RNAcentral lists this transfer RNA (78 nucleotides) under Bacteroidota bacterium. RNAcentral describes it as "Bacteroidetes bacterium tRNA-Pro". It matches the Rfam family "tRNA". Rfam says of the family: Transfer RNA (tRNA) molecules are approximately 80 nucleotides in length. Their secondary structure includes four short double-helical elements and three loops (D, anti-codon, and T loops). The record is from RNAcentral. Lineage: Bacteria; Pseudomonadati; Bacteroidota.
CGGGGUAUGGCGCAGCUCGGCUAGCGUACCUGCUUUGGGAGCAGGGGGUCGCAGGUUCGAAUCCUGCUACCCCGACAA